RNAcentral lists this ribosomal RNA (435 nucleotides) under Triticum aestivum (bread wheat). Its description in RNAcentral is "partial small subunit ribosomal RNA". Lineage: Eukaryota; Viridiplantae; Streptophyta; Magnoliopsida; Poales; Poaceae. The record is from RNAcentral.
AUGGCGAGCCACCCAUUGGCCACCGCCUCAGCCAGGGCGACCCCGACCUCGACCUCCAGGCCGUCGUGCGCGGCUCCCAGCACCGGCAAGCUCACCUGCCUCUGCUCGCCGACCAACCACCCGGGCUCCUUCCGCUGCACUCGCCACCGCAACCCACGGGGGCGACCGCAGACGUCGUCGCCGUCGUCGUCCGGCCGCGCGUCGCAGCAGCCUGCUGCACCGGGAGCCAGCGCGACGGUGCGCGUCGAGGGGAUCAUCAGGAGCGGCGGCGUCGGCGCUGGCCCCGUUGGCAGGACCACCAAGGGCCGGUCCGUCCUGCGCGCGCACCUGCUGCGGCUGGUGAGCGCGCCGUCCUCUGCCGGCCGGGACCACCGCCGCUGCCGCGACUUCAAGCCCCGACCGUCCAGGCUGGGCCGACUCGCGGUGACCGCGUGA